Molecule: ribosomal RNA, 253 nt
Filed under: uncultured bacterium
Lineage: Bacteria
Description: partial 16S ribosomal RNA
Rfam family: Bacterial small subunit ribosomal RNA
Source: RNAcentral
GACAGAGGUCCCGAGCGUUAGGCGGAAUCACUGGGAUUAAAGCGUGUGUAGGCGGAUUUGUAAGUACCUUGUGAAAUCCCACAGCUUAACUGUGGAACUGCUUGGUAUACUGCUUAUCUUGGGCCACUUAGGGGUUACCGGAACAAACGGUGGAGCGGUGAAAUGCGUAGAUAUCGUUUGGAACGCCAAUGGUGAAAACAGGUAACUGGGAGUGUGCCGACGCUGAGACACGAAAGCCAGGGGAGCGAACGGG